Molecule: non-coding RNA, 30 nt
Filed under: Rattus norvegicus (Norway rat)
Lineage: Eukaryota; Metazoa; Chordata; Mammalia; Rodentia; Muridae
Source: RNAcentral
UGGCCACAAUGAAUUGAAGUGACUCUCCGU